AGAGAAGGCGCGGGCCUCUGAGCUUCCCAGAAAGCGGUAGACACGCCGGCUGGCGCAGGGAGCUCCAGGGCUGCAGCUUCGCCAGGCCUCAAGCACAGAGCCUUCGAAGUCCGCCAACGACAGCCAGCUGUGGUUAUUUAUGUGACGGCGGGUCAGCCGGCUGUGGUUCCUCAGCCCCCAUCCUGGCGCGCCUCCAUCUGCCCGCAGCAGCUGCCGCGACUCGCGCGUGGGUGUGUUGUUUGGGUUGUCUGUCUGGGAACCGCGGGUGUCACCUUCUGGAUCGCUGCCGACUGUGUCCUCGGUCGCGGUUAAAGAAAUUAACUUUGACUGACCCAAAGGAUGCUACUACAAAAGAACUUAAAGUUUUUCUGUUCUCGGCGGACACAACAUCUUUCUUUGUAUGUGGUGCUGAGGAUCGAACCCGGGCCGCACGCAUGCCAGGCGACCGUGCUACCACUUGAGCCACAUCCCCAGCCCAAGUAAUAGAAAUCUUUGAUUUCAUGCAUAGAAACCAAAUUACGUAACAGAGAGACUACAAUUAGAUUCUUUAGAAUAAGACAAUGAAAGAGAGAUUGAAAAGGUAAGAGAGAUAUUGUAUUGUAGGUAUGUUUAAAACAUGGGAAAUUUUAUUUUAGUUUGUACUAAUUUGUGUAGAAUUUUUCCUGUGACAUUUCAGUUUUGUCCAUUGAGCUUAGUUUAGACAUCAUUGUAGUGGUUGGUUUAAAAUUACAGGUAAGAUUUGGGAAUCAUCUGAAGACUUUCAGUACGUGUUUUUUUUUAUCAAAUAUAUUUGAAGUCUAAACAGCUUUUCUUUUUCUUGGGCUCAUUUGGUUGUUUAGAAUUGGGAAUACAUUUUUCCUAUAGAAAAAGAAAAUUCUGAAUUUUGAUUAAUUUGUGAUAAUUGUUAAAAACUGUAUUAUAAUAUUAAAUAUUAAGUGUUAGCAUUUAAAAUGGAAAAUUAUUUUAGCUUUUUAAAAUGAUUGUGAUACUAGCUAACCUAGUUCAUGAGACUCUUCUCAGUCAGCCAGAUGCUGUUUCUCCUUUAAAUUUUCAAUUUCUUUAAAGAAGUUCUUCAUCACCUACUUCUAGAAUGUUAUUCCUCUUGUCUUCCUUGGGAUGAUUUUAGAAUUUGAGGCAGAGAUUUGGGUUUGGGAGUGGGCUCUGCAACAAUGAGUCAUAAUUUCAUGUGAUAGUUGAUGAGAAAGACAGGAGAAAAGGAAUAAACAGGAAGAAGGAAAGUGAACUAGGACUAGUUUGACUUUUGGCUAGCAGUUAACAGGCUUCCAUGACUGGCCUGACAGGACACAACUAGCUAGAGUCCAUGUGCAGUGCAGGGAGCAAAACCCAUAACCAGUGAGUUAACCCCACACUCUUAGCACAUUUACUAUCUAAACAAAUCCAAAUAUAGUAAAGCAAAAAAGGAAGAGAAAAAAAAAUGAGUCAGCAAAUUCUUUUAUUGCUGAAUUUAGAUAUCUACCUACAAUUCUGUAAUGACCUAGGACACUUGAAUACUAAUAUUAACAUUUCUUAUUUGCAAAAUAUUUUACAACUAAGAAGGCUCUUGUGUUCAUAUUGGAUCUUAGAACUAAUUUUGUAAGAUAAUUCAGGUAGAUACACUAAAUGCUUUGCAAAUGAGAAAAUAAUAAAAUUAUUAUUUACCCAAGGUCAUAUGACUAAUAAAUAGCAAAACCUAGAGUAAGUGAUGUAUUUUUCUUUCUAGCCAGUAUUCUUCUGAUACACCAAACUACUCCUGGUGAACUAGGCAUCUGACUCUUCUGAAUUCCUCUUAGAUAUUAACUCCCUGGAGUGCAAAGACAAUGUCUUCUUUUUUUUAAAAGUUUUUGCAGUAUUGGUCCACAGAUAGAAGCCAAGCGGGAAUAUUAGUUAAUGAAGGUGUGGACUUGACAGUGUGGAAAGAGGCUUGGCAUCAGAUGGAUGGAGAGUGAAUCCUGAGUAAGUCACAUCUUGGCUGCAUGACCUAGGAUUCCUUAUUUGAUUUCUUAAUCUACUUGUCUCAUAGGUAAAAUACAGAUGAAAAUAUAUGUAUCAUAGUAUUUUCAUAUGACUUAAAAAGAAUAUGGGCUGGGGUUGUAGCUUUUGGUAGAGUACUUGCCUAGCAUGUGUGAGGCACUGGGUUUGAUCGUCAGCAUGGCAUAUAAUAUAAAUGAAUAAAAUAUAGGUCCAUCAAAAAUAAUAACAAAUGUUCCACAUAGUACCUGCUAGCCAGUAGAUGCCCACUAUCAAUUUAACUAUGUAGCUUAUGGCUUUCCUUCCUUUUUCCAGCUUAACCCCUUUUUUUCCUGUGGAGAUGUUUUUACUUGUGUGUUGGCUUUGUUUUAUAUGUUUUUCAUCUUAAUAAUUAGUCUGCCUUGGUUGGUACUCUAGGAUGGAGCAACCCAUUGUGCUUAGAGCAUCUUCAUAUCUGACUCUGUAAAUUUCGAGGAGCUGGAAGAAAGGGAAAUAUACAAUUUACCCGAAGCAGAUAUAUCGUGUUCCUCAUUUCUUGCUUCCUUUGGUCAGGUAGUUUAUUUAUAAAAAACUGAUCCAGGACUAUUAGGAGGAAAAUAUGACUUUGUGAAUAUGCUCAGAAGUCAAAUGUUGUCUUUGCCUGAACCAGUGUAUCCUUGGAAACUUGAAACAUGAAACUUAAAAAUUAAUUUUUAAUUUUGUUUGUGAUAUUUAUAAGUGAAGGUACAAAUGUUUUUUCAUGAAGUUCUCUGAAGCUAUUAGAUGUGGCAAAAUAGAUAUUGCCCAUUUUAUUUUAAGAUUUUGACUUAGUUUUGCAGCAUUUUCUUUUAUUUUUUAUCAAAAGUUGUAGACCUUAAUUUGCUUUUCAAUAUGAUGUUUCUAGAUUAAUAAGCCAGUUAUUACAAUAAAAUCUUAUUUCCUGAAGCAAUAUGUUUUUUAAACAGUUUUAUAUAAUAAAUGUAAGAUUCCUUCUUCCUGGAUAUCAUUUUGACUCCUGUUAGUACUUUUGCUGCCUUCCAUUAAUGGAAUGAUUUUACAUCAUUUAAGUACAUAUUUUGGGUAAUUUCUAUCAAGGCAAACACUGCUCUCUUCUGAGGACUUCUACCAAGGCCUGUAAGAAACUAAGGUGGGAAUUUUACUCUUAACCUGGCUAUGUUUUAAGUUUAGGAAGCCAAUUUUUCUGGCUGAAAUGAAGUCAUUUUCUUCUUUUUUUUAUAUAUAAAUAAGACUAAUUUAUUUACAGUUUCUACUGAAACUGCAGUCUUCCCCCUUCUGCCUAAAUGGCCCAGACCAUUUUAAUCCAUGGUUUGAGCUCCUCACAGAGCUCACUUGUUGUCAUUAAUACACUAUGCUAUGUGUAGUACUGUCCACCACUUUACACAUUCACACUAGGGAAGUUAGGUUGAAAAAUUAGAAUCUUUCUUACAGCUUUCAGACAGUAAGGAAGCACUAAGGAAGAACAUUUUAAAGACCCUUUUACACUCAUGUCUUCUUUCUUCUUCAGUGCUAGGAAAAUAUAUGGGAUAAUUUAGUCCAAUUUGUCUGGGAAUAAUUAUUUAUGAGGAGAUAUGUGCUCUGUAGAAGAAAGGUUUGACAAAGAAUAUAUAUUCUUUAGCUCAUUGGUGUUGGGAGCAUAUGUUAGUGAUCCUACCAUAAAAAGCAUAUGCUUAAAAAGUGGUUACUGUGUGAGGAUAGUAACUAUUCUUAUAUAGUAUUGUGUCAUGGGAACGGUUUCGUUUUACCUGGGAGGAAUGAAUGAAUUUAAACCAAUACACAAAUUCUGUAAUGAUUUUUUCUUCAGGAUAUGAUCUAGACCUACAAAUAUCUCUUCAUUAACUAUAGAAGUUUGGGAUUCCAUCACACUUAGAGGUAAUCUUCCAUAAAAUUCUGAAGCAGAUGGUAAAGGUGGGUGUUAAGUAAUUUAAAUGUGAAUUUAGAAACUAGAGAAAGAUAAAAAUAAAACCAAAGCACUUAGACACAGUCACAUCACCUGGUAGUAAUAUCAGUGUAUUUUGCUGCUGCUUUUAAGUUUUUUCCAUAGACUUGCCACAAUUUUUGCAUGACUAAAAAGGAAAAAUUAAGUAUGAACCUGGUUGAAUGUUUAAUAAAAAAUUAGCAAUGUCAUAUUGAUUUUGAUGACAUAGCCACUUUUUUUGUUUUUUAUCUUCAGACUUGGUACAUUCAAAAUAAGUUGAAUUGAAAGUAUUAAUUACCAUUUAGACACGAACUUCUGUUCAGAAACAAGCCCCAUGUCUAGCACAAAGUGUAUUGAAUUUCUCAUUGUGUACAAAUAUGUUCAUUCCUUUUUUUUCCAGUUCUAGGACAUUUUCCUCUAAAAGCAGCCAGUGUUUUAGCUUUUUCUUUUUCUUAUUUUAUUUAUUUUUUUGUUACAAGAUGCUGUGAUUUCUUUAAAGUUCAAGAAACUAUUUUUAUAUCUAGCCUAAUAUUCAACUUAAAUUGUUGUCCUUACCCACUGUUAAACCAAAUUAAUUUGUAAAGGAUGGAUUUUAGAAUAAAUAUGUUUAGCACUCUAUAACAAUACAGAUUACUGAAGUGCAUUUUCAAAUGUUAGAACAUAAUUUUAAUUUAAUCUUUUGCACAGAAUUUCUUUAGAAGCUGAGGUUUUAUGUUAAAGUUUUCUUUUCUUGGGAAAUUAGAGGUUCUCAGUAGACAAAGGUUAUUUGAAAAUUAAUUUCUAUGCAUAAAUGUGUAUGUUAUUUUAAAAAAUAGGUUACAUAUUGCUUCUUUUCAUCUGUUAAAUCUAGGUUACAUAAAAUGAUGAACUGUACCUAACAAUAUUGGUCUACCUUGCCCUCAGGGGAAAAAUAGGCCUCUACAUGUAACAUGUGAUACUAACAAGAUUAGAAUUUAAUGAAGUGCAAGAGAAUACCAAAAGUUUUGAUAUUUUACUUGCUUGUUUUUUGUUUGUUUGUUUUUGUUUUUUUAAUUUAAGGAAAUAAGCACUCUGUAUUCCUCACCCUAAUUGCCAACUGUGCCCUAGUUGGUUGAACAUCAAGGAUUUGUCACAUUUUUUUUUUCCUUAAGGAAAAGCAGGGCAUCACAAAUCAUCAGUGAAUCUCUUGCUGAGUAAUGGUGGUUUUUCAAUAUUAAUUUUUUUAAGCACAUUUUAUUUUUAGAAAUCAGUAUUUUUUAUUCCAAGAUCAUAUAUAUUGUGUGUAUACACAUCAUUAAUAUCAGACAUUUUCUCAUCUUUAUAAUUUGUUCCGGUAGUAUAAAUAAAAAUAAUAAUUUAGUUUUCUGAAAUAUAAUUACAAUCAUUAACUUAGAAUGUAGCAUGUUGAAAUAAAAGGAAGUUGUUUUUUAAAUUUAUUUCUUGUUGUAAUUUGUUAUAUAUUGACAGCCGAUUGCAUUACAAUUCAUAUUACACAUACAGAACACAUUUUUUCAUAUCUCUGGUUGUAUACAAAGUAUAUUCACACCAUUCAUGUCUUCAUACAUGUACUUAGGAUAAUGAUGUCUGUCUCAUUCCACCAUCUUUUCUACCCCCAUGUCCCCUCCCUUUCCCUCCCACCCAAAAAGGAAAUUUUGUAAGUUUAUCUCUUUACAAUAUUGAGACUGUUUGGGAGAGUUUAUAUUGAUUUUGUGAAAAAGGAAGUAGAUGAGUCAUCUAAAACUUGUAACUUUAUGAAAUUCAGAACUAUUCUUCACUGUGGAAUUGGAAA
Molecule: long non-coding RNA, 5651 nt
Organism: Marmota monax (woodchuck)
Lineage: Eukaryota; Metazoa; Chordata; Mammalia; Rodentia; Sciuridae
Exons: 4
Source: RefSeq, a predicted model, not a curated record